ACACGCUGGCGGCGUGCUUAACACAUGCAAGUCGAACGGUGACGAGGAGCUUGCUCCUCUGAUCAGUGGCGAACGGGUGAGUAACACGUGAGCAACCUGCCCCAGACUCUGGGAUAACAGUUGGAAACAGCUGCUAAUACCGGAUACGAGACGGAGAGGCAUCUCUACCGUCUGGAAAGUUUUUCGGUCUGGGAUGGACUCGCGGCCUAUCAGCUAGUUGGUGAGGUAAUGGCUCACCGAGGCGACGACGGGUAGCCGGCCUGAGAGGGCGACCGGCCACACUGGGACUGAGACACGGCCCAGGCUCCUACGGGAGGCAGCAGUGGGGAAUAUUGCACAAUGGGCGAAAGCCUGAUGCAGCGACGCCGCGUGAGGGAUGAAGGCCUUCGGGUUGUAAACCUCUUUCAGCAGGGAAGAAGCGAAAGUGACGGUACCUGCAGAAGAAGCACCGGCUAACUACGUG
RNAcentral lists this ribosomal RNA (463 nucleotides) under uncultured bacterium. Its description in RNAcentral is "bacterial SSU rRNA". It matches the Rfam family "Bacterial small subunit ribosomal RNA", at positions 33 to 507 of the family's 1533-position model. The record is from RNAcentral.